Molecule: ribosomal RNA, 253 nt
Filed under: uncultured bacterium
Lineage: Bacteria
Description: partial 16S ribosomal RNA
Rfam family: Bacterial small subunit ribosomal RNA
Source: RNAcentral
UACGUAGGGCGCGAGCGUUGUUCGGAAUUAUUGGGCGUAAAGAGCUCGUAGGCGGCCGGUUGCGUCUGCUGUGAAAUCCCGGGGCUUAACCCCGGGCGUGCAGUGGAUACGGGCCGGCUGGAGGCAGGCAGGGGAGAAUGGAAUUCCCGGUGUAGCGGUGAAAUGCGCAGAUAUCGGGAGGAACACCGGUGGCGAAGGCGGUUCUCUGGGCCUUACCUGACGCUGAGGAGCGAAAGCGUGGGGAGCGAACAGG